CCUACGGGUGGCAGCAGUGAGGAAUAUUGGUCAAUGGACGAGAGUCUGAACCAGCCAAGUAGCGUGAAGGAUGACUGCCCUAUGGGUUGUAAACUUCUUUUAUAAAGGAAUAAAACGAGGCACGUGUGCCUUUUUGCAUGUACUUUAUGAAUAAGGAUCGGCUAACUCCUUGCCAGCAGCCGCGGUACUCCGGAGGAUCCGAGCGUUAUCCGGAUUUAUUGGGUUUAAAGGGAGCGUAGAUGGGUUGUUAAGUAAGUUGUGAAAGUUUGCGGCUCAACCGUAAAAUUGCAAUUGAUAAUGGCAGUCGUGAGUACAGUUGAGGUAGGCGGAAUUCGUGGUGUAGCGGUGAAAUGCUUAGAUAUCACGAAGAACCCCGAUUGCGAAGGCAGCUUACUAAACUGUGACUGACAUUGAUGCUCGAAAGUGUGGGUAUCAAACAGGAUUAGAUACCCGAGUAGUC
This 460-nucleotide ribosomal RNA is filed under the name uncultured bacterium. RNAcentral describes it as "partial 16S ribosomal RNA". It matches the Rfam family "Bacterial small subunit ribosomal RNA", at positions 338 to 795 of the family's 1533-position model. The record is from RNAcentral.